AAAAAAGGAAUAGAUUUUAUUUAGAAAAUGUAGAAAUUAACCCCAAAACUACCAGCCCUAGUUCGUCCUCCCUCCCUGUCUCCUCCCUGUCUCUCGACUCUCUCUCUCUCUCCCCUCUCGACUCCGCCGCCGGCGCCGCUGCCCCACGCCGGCCCGUCGCCGCCCACCCUCGCUGCUGCCCCGCGCCCUAGUUCUUCUCUGUUCGAUUGGUCGAGCCCUAGUUCUUCUAUGUUCGGUACAACGCAGCCGUCGCCAUCUCAGGGAGACCGGCGAGCUACGCGACCUAGAGCCCGCCCAUCGUUGCUGGUGGUCCGAGGAUCGGCGAGCCGAUGGUGUUCUACGGCCGGUUCUCUUCUCAACUCUACAUAAUCGAGGCAGGAAAGGGGGAAAGCCCUAAUUCUCCGAUUUGCAAUCGAGAGCGGAUGAGGUUGAUAAUUCUCCGACCUGAAGCCCUUCUCCCUCUCUCUACCUCCUCUCUGUGCCGCCUUUGUCUCCGGCAAGCAGCCGCUAGCCGCCACCUUCUCCAGCCUGGCGUCGCCCCCCAUCCCCAUCACCUCUCUUUCGCUUCCACCACCACGGUAUACUCUCUCUCUCUCCUAUUUUCUAUAUGUAUUUCUAUCUUUGCGUAAUUAAUUUUUGAAUUUGGGCAGAGCAACCUCCGUCGUCGGCUCAGCGCCCACCACCGCUCCAAUCGCACCACCACUGCCCCUGGCCUCUGACUCCGACAACAGUCG
This 734-nucleotide long non-coding RNA is filed under the name Salvia miltiorrhiza (redroot sage). RNAcentral describes it as "long non-coding RNA (SMIL_LNC006140)". The record is from RNAcentral. Lineage: Eukaryota; Viridiplantae; Streptophyta; Magnoliopsida; Lamiales; Lamiaceae.